AGUUCUUUGAAGAUUUGCGGUGCCUUUUGCCUAACAGGGAAACCGGUAACCUACACGCUUAUAAGGCUGGGAUUCCGGUGCUGCCCCGCAACUGUGAUAGACUUAAUCAGUUAACACAAAGCCACUGCCCCGAUAAAUCGGGGUGGGAAGGCGUUAUCGGAUGUCUUAAGCCAGGAGACCUGCCGCAAAUUCCAUUAUUAA
RNAcentral lists this non-coding RNA (201 nucleotides) under Ignavibacteria bacterium. The record is from RNAcentral. Lineage: Bacteria; Pseudomonadati; Ignavibacteriota; Ignavibacteria.